RNAcentral lists this ribosomal RNA (394 nucleotides) under uncultured bacterium. Its description in RNAcentral is "partial 16S ribosomal RNA". It matches the Rfam family "Bacterial small subunit ribosomal RNA", at positions 523 to 918 of the family's 1533-position model. The record is from RNAcentral.
AUACGUAGGGGGCGAGCGUUAUCCGGAAUUAUUGGGCGUAAAGAGUACGUAGGUGGUUACCUAAGCGAGGGGUUUAAGGCAAUGGCUUAACCAUUGUUCGCCCCCCGAACUGGGUUACUUGAGUGCUGGAGGGGAAAGCGGAAUUCCUAGUGUAGCGGUGAAAUGCGUAGAUAUUAGGAGGAACACCAGUGGCGAAGGCGGCUUUCUGGACAGUAACUGACACUGAGGUACGAAAGUGUGGGGAGCAAACAGGAUUAGUUACCCUGGUAGUCCACACCGUAAACGAUGAGCACUAGGUGUUGGGCUCGCAAGAGUUCGGUGCCGCAGUUAACGCAUUAAGUGCUCCGCCUGGGGAGUACGUACGCAAGUAUGAAACUCAAAUGAAUUGACGGGG